This is a transfer RNA of Pestalotiopsis fici W106-1, 84 nucleotides long. It matches the Rfam family "tRNA". Rfam says of the family: Transfer RNA (tRNA) molecules are approximately 80 nucleotides in length. Their secondary structure includes four short double-helical elements and three loops (D, anti-codon, and T loops). The record is from Rfam. NCBI's taxonomy places the organism in Eukaryota, Fungi, Ascomycota, Sordariomycetes, Amphisphaeriales, Sporocadaceae.
GGACCAUUAGCUCAGUGGUAGAGCAUCUGAUUCCAGUUCAUCGGGACAUCCAGAAGGUCGUCCGUUCAAGUCGGGCAUGGUUCA